UACGUAGGGGGCUAGCGUUGUCCGGAAUCAUUGGGCGUAAAGAGCGCGUAGGCGGCCAGAUAAGUCCGGUGUGAAAGUCACAGGCUCAACCUGUGAAUGCCGCUGGAAACUGUCUGGCUAGAGUCCGGGAGGGGCGAGUGGAAUUCCUGGUGUAGCGGUGAAAUGCGCAGAUAUCAGGAAGAACACCCGUGGCGAAGGCGGCUCUCUGGGACGGUACUGACGCUGAGACGCGAAAGCGUGGGGAGCGAACAGG
This 253-nucleotide ribosomal RNA is filed under the name uncultured bacterium. RNAcentral describes it as "partial 16S ribosomal RNA". It matches the Rfam family "Bacterial small subunit ribosomal RNA", at positions 524 to 776 of the family's 1533-position model. The record is from RNAcentral.